RNAcentral lists this ribosomal RNA (301 nucleotides) under uncultured bacterium. RNAcentral describes it as "partial 16S ribosomal RNA". It matches the Rfam family "Bacterial small subunit ribosomal RNA", at positions 509 to 807 of the family's 1533-position model. The record is from RNAcentral.
CAGUAGCCGCGGUAAUACGAAGGGGGCUAGCGCUGUUCGGAAUUACUGGGCGUAAAGCGCACGUAGGCGGAUAUUUAAGUCAGGGGUGAAAGCCCAGAGCUCAACUCUGGAACUGCCUUUGAUACUGGGUAUCUUGAGUAUGGAAGAGGUGAGUGGAAUUCCGAGUGUAGAGGUGAAAUUCGUAGAUAUUCGGAGGAACACCAGUGGCGAAGGCGGCUCACUGGUCCAUUACUGACGCUGAGGUGCGAAAGCGUGGGGAGCAAACAGGAUUAGAUACCCCAGUAGUCCCUGUCUCUUAUAC